RNAcentral lists this ribosomal RNA (1321 nucleotides) under metagenome. Its description in RNAcentral is "SSU rRNA". It matches the Rfam family "Eukaryotic small subunit ribosomal RNA", at positions 10 to 1296 of the family's 1831-position model. The record is from RNAcentral.
GAUCCUGCCAGUAGUGAUAUGCUUGUUUCAAAGAUUAAGCCAUGCAUGUCUAAGUAUAAGCGAACUUAUACAGUGAAACUGCGGAUGGCUCAUUAAAACAGUUUGAAUUUAUUUGAUGAAUGUAUGAGAAUACUACUUGGAUAACCGUAGUAAUUCUAGAGCUAAUACAUGCAACGACGCCCGACCGUUUCACUACGGAAGGGCUGUAUUUAUUGGAUACCAAAACCAUCCUUCCCUCGGGAAGUUUUGUUUGAUGAUUCACAAUAACUGAUCGGAUCGCCACUGUGGUGGCGACAGGUCAUUCAACAUUCUGCCCUAUCAGCUUUCGAUGGUUGUGUAGUGGACAACCAUGGCCAUAACGGGUAACGGAGAAUCAGGGUUCGAUUCCGGAGAAGGGGCUUGAGAAUUGGCUACUACAUCUAAGGAAGGCAGCAGGCGCGCAAAUUACCCAAUCCCGAUUCGGGGAGGUAGUGACAAAAAAUAACAAUACCGGGCCUUUUUGGGCUUGGUAAUUGGAAUGAGGGAGAGUUAAACGGACCAUCGAGUAUCCAUUGGAGGGCAAGUCUGGUGCCAGCAGCUGCGGUAAUACCAGCUCCAAUAGCGUAUAUUAAAGUUGUUGCAGUUAAAAAGCUCGUAGUUGGACUUGUGUGCGCUGUCCGCGGGUGGCCUGCGCCCAAAAGGGCGUUUCGGUUCGGCCCCGGUGGCGCCUUGAAAUCUGCAGCUGGGGGGACGUUGGCCUUAACUGGUCGGCGACCGCACGCCGGCUGCUCGGUUACUGUGAGAAAAUUAGAGUGUUCAAGGCAGGCAUUGGGUGCAAUUGAAUACAUUAGCAUGGAAUAAUAAAAUAUGGCUCCUGCCGUAUUUUGUUGGUUUUGACUGGUGGGAGUAAUGAUUGAUAGGGACGGUUGGGGGUGCUAGUAUUGAGCGGCCAGAGGUGAAAUUCAUGGAUUCGCUCAAGACUAACUUAUGCGAAAGCAUUCACCAAGGACGUCCUCUUUAAUCAAGAACGAAAGUUGGGGGAUCGAAGACGAUCAGAUACCGUCGUAGUCUCAACCAUAAACUAUGUCGACUUGGGAUCGGCGGUAGUUUUUUCAUUAAGACACUGUCGGGACCGCGGGAGAAAUCAAAGUGUCUGGACUCUGGGGGAAGUAUGGUCGCAAGGCUGAAACUUGAAGGAAUUGACGGAAGGGCACCACCAGGAGUGGAGCCUGCGGCUUAAUUUGACCCAACACGGGGAAACUUACCAGGUCCAGAGAUGUAGAGGAUUGACAGAUUGAAGCUCUUUCUUGAUCACUUCGGUGGUGGUGCAUGGCCGUUCUUA